RNAcentral lists this ribosomal RNA (279 nucleotides) under uncultured bacterium. RNAcentral's name for it is "partial 16S ribosomal RNA". It matches the Rfam family "Bacterial small subunit ribosomal RNA", at positions 506 to 784 of the family's 1533-position model. The record is from RNAcentral.
UGCCAGCCGCAGCGGUAAUACGGAGGGGGUUAGCGUUGUUCGGAAUUACUGGGCGUAAAGCGCGUGUAGGCGGUUCGUUAAGUCUGAUGUGAAAGCCCGGGGCUCAACCCCGGAAGUGCAUUGGAAACUGGCGAACUUGAGUACGGGAGAGGAAAGUGGAAUUCCGAGUGUAGGGGUGAAAUCCGUAGAUAUUCGGAGGAACACCAGUGGCGAAGGCGGCUCACUGGCUCGAUACUGACGCUGAGGUGCGAAAGUGUGGGGAGCAAACAGGAUUAGAUA